CCGCCUGGGGAGUACGGCCGCAAGGUUAAAACUCAAAUGAAUUGACGGGGGCCCGCACAAGCGGUGGAGCAUGUGGUUUAAUUCGAUGCAACGCGAAGAACCUUACCUGGUCUUGACAUCCACAGAAGAAUCCAGAGAUGGAUUUGUGCCUUCGGGAACUGUGAGACAGGUGCUGCAUGGCUGUCGUCAGCUCGUGUUGUGAAAUGUUGGGUUAAGUCCCGCAACGAGCGCAACCCUUAUCCUUUGUUGCCAGCGGUUAGGCCGGGAACUCAAAGGAGACUGCCAGU
This 287-nucleotide ribosomal RNA is filed under the name Salmonella enterica subsp. enterica serovar Muenchen. RNAcentral's name for it is "partial 16S ribosomal RNA". It matches the Rfam family "Bacterial small subunit ribosomal RNA", at positions 869 to 1156 of the family's 1533-position model. RNAcentral also lists the same sequence under 5 other names. The record is from RNAcentral. Lineage: Bacteria; Pseudomonadati; Pseudomonadota; Gammaproteobacteria; Enterobacterales; Enterobacteriaceae.